This 425-nucleotide ribosomal RNA is filed under the name uncultured bacterium. RNAcentral's name for it is "partial 16S ribosomal RNA". It matches the Rfam family "Bacterial small subunit ribosomal RNA", at positions 354 to 796 of the family's 1533-position model. The record is from RNAcentral.
GUGGGGAAUAUUGGGCAAUGGGGGAAACCCUGACCCAGCAACGCCGCGUGAAGGAAGAAGGUUUUCGGAUCGUAAACUUCUAUCCUUGGUGAAGAUAAUGACGGUAGCCAAGAAGGAAGCCCCGGCUAACUACGUGCCAGCAGCCGCGGUAAUACGUAGGGGGCAAGCGUUGUCCGGAAUGAUUGGGCGUAAAGGGCGCGUAGGCGGCCUGGUAAGUCUGGAGUGAAAGUCCUGCUUUUAAGGUGGGAAUUGCUUUGGAUACUGUCGGGCUUGAGUGCAGGAGAGGUAAGCGGAAUUCCCGGUGUAGCGGUGAAAUGCGUAGAGAUCGGGAGGAACACCAGUGGCGAAGGCGGCUUACUGGACUGUAACUGACGCUGAGGCGCGAAAGUGUGGGGAGCAAACAGGAUUAGAUACCCGAGUAGUCC